AAGUCGUAACAAGGUUUCCGUAGGUGAACCUGCGGAAGGAUCAUUAACUAGUAUUGAAGUCCACGGGGAUCAGGCUUUCCGAAAGGAGGGUGGGGGGAUGUUUGGUUCCCCCUGCUUGGGCAGACUGGAGAGCAUUGUGUAGCCACUUUUGUUGGCUACGUUAUGUUUGGCCUCUGCUGAUCGAGCUUGUCACCUGAAUUCUACAACCCUUGCUUUUUGCGCACCCAUUGUUUCCUCGGUAGGCUUGCCUGCCAGUAGGACCAUUUAAAACCCUUUGUGAUUGCAAUCAGCGUCAGAAACAACGUAAUCGUUACAACUUUCAACAACGGAUCUCUUGGUUCUG
This 343-nucleotide unclassified non-coding RNA is filed under the name Plenodomus biglobosus. Its description in RNAcentral is "Leptosphaeria biglobosa partial internal transcribed spacer region". The stretch from base 1 to 46 matches the Rfam family "Eukaryotic small subunit ribosomal RNA", at positions 1786 to 1831 of the family's 1831-position model. Lineage: Eukaryota; Fungi; Ascomycota; Dothideomycetes; Pleosporales; Leptosphaeriaceae. The record is from RNAcentral.